Long non-coding RNA from Harmonia axyridis, 1102 nucleotides. RefSeq lists it as uncharacterized. Lineage: Eukaryota; Metazoa; Arthropoda; Insecta; Coleoptera; Coccinellidae. The record is from RefSeq and is a predicted model, not a curated record. The transcript has 2 exons.
AGUCAUUCUUAGUCUUAAACUCAUUCUUGAUGACAAAGAUCUGUUUGAGAAAUGGAUUCAGUAGUUGGAUGCCAUUUUGGGUAAGCAGAAAAGAAAAGUUAUUCUUUUCAUUGACAAGUGCCCUGCACAUCUAAAAGACAUAAUAUGUGUCACGAAUAUAAAAUCGUUUAUUUGACACCUAAUGUCACAUCCAUACUGCAACCCUUAGAUCAGGGUAUUAUGAAGUGGCCAAUAAGAAGUGAAUAAACAUUAUCAUUAAUAUUUAACAAAAGUACAGGAAAAAAUUAGUACAGUGGUACUUAAGAGGCAAUCAAAAGUGAUGUUUUAGACUAAACAUUUUAUUACUGCUGCUUGGGAUGAAAUUGACGCACUCGUUAUAAGAAACGGUUUUUGGAAGAUUGGAUUUUCAUAUAAGACAGUUACCACUUGACUAACAACACAGCAACAAGAACUGAGAAACUUCUCCAAAAUUUUCCGUAUCACGCGAGUGAAUGACGCUCUUGUAACUAGCAACAUUCGCACUAUUGAUGUCAUGAUGGCUGACAUCACCACUGACCCUUUGGGGAGUGAGAGUGAAAAAAAUGACUCUGAAGAAGAGGACAAUCAUUCCCCAUCACCUAUAGUUUCUGCUGGGUUAUAAAACGUGGCCAGCUCUGAAAAGUUAUUUCCACCCUGAAAAAUGCAGAGGGCAUGCUAUGUUACAUUAGCAGAAUAGACAACUUCCUCUCCACAUACAAGUAACCUUGACAGGUUUCUCUCUGGUCAGUGAGUGAGCAGUAAACCCAGCAAUCCAAAAUAUAGAAACUGCAGAAAGAAUAGCACUGAGGACCAUUUCAAGAAUAAGACAUCCACACAAUAGAUUGCACAACCCACUCAAUGAAUUAUUAUAUGCAAAAAUCAAGAUCCAACCCAUUUUAGAAAGGCUUCAAAAUCUAAAUGCAAGAUUCUACAGUAGACUGGAAGAGAUGUCAGACAUCGUCCAGCUUUACCACGAAGACCCCAUCAACAACCCAACAAGAAAGUUUCCGACAUCAACACUUCUUCAGAAACUAAGACAGAAAUUUAGAAAUUGAUAGUUUGAUUAGAGCACAUUUUAUACUUU